AUUUUAAAGCUCUUAGUAUAUGAAAAUUAUAUACGAACAAGCAUAUUUCCAACUGGAAUUUUACAUAUUUUAUAACUUCUCUUCGCAAAAAUUGCGUAUAUUUAGUGACAAAUGAGCAACACACAUAGGUAAGCAACAUUUACAAUCGAUUAGAGUUUUAUAAACUUCUUGAAUUAACUUAUAUUUCUCAAUAAACUGGGUGCCGCAUCCUUGACGAAGUCUGCGGUUUUAACACACACGCAAUGUUAUCAGAAACUAACUGUAACGCGCUUAUUUCCAAUCAUCCAAUGUAUACUACUUUUAUAAACUUCUGGAUUAGACUUAUCAUUCUUAUCAGAUGGGUGUCGCAUCCUUGACGUAGUCUGUGGUUUUAAAACCCAUGCAAUAUUAUCACAACGCACAUAAUAUAAGGAGAAUAAUUUUUUAUUAAGUUAGUCAAACGUAACGAUACACUGCAAGUUAAAACAUGGCGAGUAGGCAAAAUUCUGCAAAAAAUCGUCGAGGAGGACAAUAUUGUGUUGCUGGUUGGCCCAACGGAAAAAGUUGUACAAACAGUCAACACACAGAGGGUGUCUCAGUACAUCGUUUCCCCAUGAAUGACAAGGAGAGGCUGAAUAAAUGGACGAAAUUUGUUAGGAGACAUAGGCCAAAAUUCGUUCCUCAGCAGUACUCUGUGCUAUGUUCAAUGCAUUUCGCAGAUUCUGCAUUCACCGUGAACGCAACAGUUGCAAAAUCGCUAAACAUGAGACGACGAUUGCGAAAUGGAAAUCCAUUGCUAGGCACAUUACAAACAAGCAUGAAAACCAUCCAGAUGAGUUGUUUCCUAAAUGUGCUCAUGGAGAGCUAGAUGAACGUCUAUGGCUUCAAGUUGAUGGGAUUGUAUUCUUUUUAAGGAACUAAAUCAUAUCAGCGACUUUCCUCCAUUCUGUUGAAAAAAUCUGUUCUCAAAGAUGUUAAAAAACUAUCUUCAGAAGCACAAACUAGUUGUCUCGAAGGUUUUCAUUCAACAUUAAAUGGUUGGCAUCCAAAGAUGACCCACUUUUCUUGGCUUGGUACAUAUUGCAGGUAACUUGUAAUCACUGUUCUCUAUCUGCCAAGCCUUUUUUACUUGUUCCUAGUCAAGAAAAAAAAUUACA
Xenia sp. Carnegie-2017 is the source of this 1136-nucleotide long non-coding RNA. RefSeq lists it as uncharacterized. The record is from RefSeq and is a predicted model, not a curated record. Lineage: Eukaryota; Metazoa; Cnidaria; Anthozoa; Malacalcyonacea; Xeniidae. The transcript has 2 exons.